AGUGAGCGCUGGCGGUAGGCCUAACACAUGCAAGUCGAACGGCAGCACAGUAAGAGCUUGCUCUUACGGGUGGCGAGUGGCGGACGGGUGAGGAAUACAUCGGAAUCUACUUUUUCGUGGGGGAUAACGUAGGGAAACUUACGCUAAUACCGCAUACGACCUACGGGUGAAAGCAGGGGAUCUUCGGACCUUGCGCGAUUGAAUGAGCCGAUGUCGGAUUAGCUAGUUGGCGGGGUAAAGGCCCACCAAGGCGACGAUCCGUAGCUGGUCUGAGAGGAUGAUCAGUCACACUGGAACUGAGACACGGUCCAGACUCCUACGGGAGGCAGCAGUGGGGAAUAUUGGACAAUGGGCGCAAGCCUGAUCCAGCCAUACCGCGUGGGUGAAGAAGGCCUUCGGGUUGUAAAGCCCUUUUAUUGGGAAAGAAAAGCAGCAGGUUAAUACCCCGCUGUUCUGACGGUACCCAAAGAAUAAGCACCGGCUAACUUCGUG
Molecule: ribosomal RNA, 492 nt
Filed under: uncultured bacterium
Lineage: Bacteria
Description: partial 16S ribosomal RNA
Rfam family: Bacterial small subunit ribosomal RNA
Source: RNAcentral